GUCGAACGCUGGCGGCGUGCUUAACACAUGCAAGUCGAACGGAAAGGCCCUGCUUUUGUGGGGUGCUCGAGUGGCGAACGGGUGAGUAACACGGGAGUAACCUGCCCUUGACGUUGGGAUAACUACAGGAAACUGGGGCUCAUAUCGGAUAGGAGCUCCAGCUCCAUGGUGGGGGCUGGAAAGUUUCGGCGGUCGGGGUUGGACUCGCGGCUUAGCAGCUUGUUGGUGGGGUAGUGGCUUACCAAGGCGUUGACGGGUAGCCGGCCUGAGAGGGUGACCGGCCACAUUGGGACUGAGACACGGCCCAGACUCCUACGGGAGGCAGCAGUGGGGAAUAUUGCACAAUGGGCGGAAGCCUGAUGCAGCAACGCCGCGUGCGGGAUGACGGCCUGCGGGUUGUAAACCGCUUUCGCCUGUGACGAAGCGUGAGUGACGGUACUGGGUAAAGAAGCACCGGCUAACUACGUG
Molecule: ribosomal RNA, 468 nt
Filed under: uncultured bacterium
Lineage: Bacteria
Description: partial 16S ribosomal RNA
Rfam family: Bacterial small subunit ribosomal RNA
Source: RNAcentral